RNAcentral lists this long non-coding RNA (233 nucleotides) under Salvia miltiorrhiza (redroot sage). RNAcentral describes it as "long non-coding RNA (SMIL_LNC010096)". Lineage: Eukaryota; Viridiplantae; Streptophyta; Magnoliopsida; Lamiales; Lamiaceae. The record is from RNAcentral.
UCCAAUUGUCGAAGUUGCACUUGUUGAGCAUGGGGACUUGAAACGAUUGUAAAUUCGCCAUACCACAAGUAGAAUCUUGUGGCUCUGAUACCACUUUGUUGGAAAUAUAGAUGUUAUAUAUAUGUGGGAGGAUUUAUAAUGAUGGAGGAUUUAGUUUUUGAAAAUGUGUAAAGUGGGGUGGACGUGUAUUAGAAAGAAAAUAAAGAAAUUGAUUUCAAAGCUUCCAACUUAAU